RNAcentral lists this long non-coding RNA (288 nucleotides) under Equus asinus (donkey). RNAcentral's name for it is "lncRNA (ENSEASG00005029721.1)". Lineage: Eukaryota; Metazoa; Chordata; Mammalia; Perissodactyla; Equidae. The record is from RNAcentral.
UUUCAGAUAAACAGCAAUUAUGUUUUUUUAGGAUAACUAGGUCCCAUGCAAUCUUGGGGACUAAAAAGUUAUUUCAGUGUUUAUCUGAAAUUCAGAUUUAAGUGGACGUCCAGUAUGUUAUCCAGCAAUCCUGCCGUUGGACCACAUCCUCCCCUUGCAGAUUUGGGGAGAGAGUUGAGGCACUGAGAAGAAGAACUAAAAUGACUGAGUUUCAUAGAGAUGCAGAGGACAGAGCGCUGACAGGCACAGUUUCUCUCUUCUUGGCCGCUGCAUGAAAUUGCCUCAAAG